Molecule: ribosomal RNA, 499 nt
Filed under: uncultured bacterium
Lineage: Bacteria
Description: partial 16S ribosomal RNA
Rfam family: Bacterial small subunit ribosomal RNA
Source: RNAcentral
ACGAACGCUGGCGGCGUGCUUAACACAUGCAAGUCGAACGGGUCUGCCCUGUUUUUUGCGGGGUGGGUCAGUGGCGAACGGGUGAGUAACACGUGAGUAACCUGCCCCUCACUUCUGGAUAACCGCUUGAAAGGGUGGCUAAUACGGGGUGUUCUGGCUGUGCCGCAUGGUGUGGCUGGGAAAGAUUCACUUUUGUGGUGUUUUGGUGGGGGAUGGGCUCGCGGCCUAUCAGCUUGUUGGUGGGGUGAUGGCCUGCCAAGGCUUUGACGGGUAGCCGGCCUGAGAGGGUGGGCGGUCACACUGGGACUGAGAUACGGCCCAGACUGCUGCGGGAGGCAGCAGUGGGGGGUAUUGCACAAUGGGCGGAAGCCUGAUGCAGCGACGUCGCGUGAGGGAUGGAGGCCUUCGGGUUGUGAACCUCUUUCGCCGGUGAAGAAGGUCCUGCUCUUUGUGGUGGGGUUGACGGUAGCCGGGUUAUGAAGCGCCGGCUAACUACGUG